Coccinella septempunctata (seven-spotted ladybird) is the source of this 1159-nucleotide RNA transcript. It is a transcript of the gene named peroxisomal membrane protein PEX14, with no coding region annotated. The record is from RefSeq and is a predicted model, not a curated record. NCBI's taxonomy places the organism in Eukaryota, Metazoa, Arthropoda, Insecta, Coleoptera, Coccinellidae. The transcript is spliced from 6 exons.
GAUGGUACUAGUUCUGUGUUCCGUGGUUCUGUGCAGUGUUUUCAGGUUUUUUGCUCUGUAGUCCGUGUUUUUUUGGAAUUAAAAUUCGUGUUGAAUGCUUUUUUCAAAAAUGACAAACAAUAGCCCAACCAUUGAAAACAAAACCCUACGUGAUGAACUGGUUAAAACUGCCGUCAGCUUUCUACAAAAUUCAAAAGUCCAAGAUACGCCGUUAGCAAAGAAACAGGAAUUUUUACAACGGAAAGGCCUCACUAACGAAGAAAUCGAAAAAGCUUGUGAAAUAUCAGGAGCUUACUUGCUACAUGAACAACAAUUAAGGGUGCCUCCACCCUUACCUAUUUCUGUUAAUGGAAAUCAGAAGCAGCUAACAUUCUUUUACAAAAUUAGGGAAAUUCUACAUAGUCUAGUGAUCUUCAGCUUUGUUGGAUAUGCCCUCUAUAAGUUGUAUGAGAGAUUUAUUGUACCUUUCUUGUUUGGCAAGAAAAAAAAAACUUUUGAUGAGUCUAUAGAAGGUCUAGAUGAAUAUAUGAAGAAAUCUGUAGCUGAACUAAAAUCCGAAUUAGAUAGUGUUAAAGUUGAAGUUCACAAAAUAAGUAGAAAUUCAGAUUGGAGCAAAGAUAGGCAUUUGUCAGAUAUAAAAUCUGAUAUUUCUACUGUUAAAGGAUUAUUACUAGGAAGAAAACAAUUUCCAAGUAUGUCUCAUAGUCCUGUGGUACCUCCUUCCAUUCCUGCUUGGCAAAUGUCUAGUGUUGCAGAUGCUUCAGAUGGUGACACAGACCAUAAAACUGAAGAUAUAGAAGAAAUUGGAUCUGGUAGUGGAUCUUCUGAACCAGAACACUGUACAAAAACGAGCGAGUCUAGUCUAGAGAUAUUAUGAAACCCGUGCGUCGGACUAAGAAAAUUCUGGAGAUCAAAUUUGCUCAUAGUUGAAUACGCUCAGUAGCGUGCCACUGACUGUCUAAAUAAUACCAGCCUGUAUCUCAAAAGAUCAAUACCAAAGGAUUGUGAGAAUGUUAGUUUCCAAAGACAAGAAGAUCAAGACCAUUAGUGAUAAAAUUAACUAAUUGAACUACCUUGUAAUAUAUGUAUAUUUUCUGACUUUAUAUUUGGUGUGAAAGAAUUAUUGGAACCUAUUUGAAAUAAAUUAACUCAAAGCAUA